RNAcentral lists this transfer RNA (74 nucleotides) under Camillea tinctor. Its description in RNAcentral is "tRNA-Arg". It matches the Rfam family "tRNA". Rfam says of the family: Transfer RNA (tRNA) molecules are approximately 80 nucleotides in length. Their secondary structure includes four short double-helical elements and three loops (D, anti-codon, and T loops). The record is from RNAcentral. Lineage: Eukaryota; Fungi; Ascomycota; Sordariomycetes; Xylariales; Graphostromataceae.
GGCUUCCUAGCUCAAUGGCUCAGAGCAUCAGACUUCUAAUCUGAAGGUUGUGGGUUCGAGUCCCACGGAGGUCG